GACGAACGCUGGCGGCGUGCUUAACACAUGCAAGUCGAACGAAGAGCGAUGGAAGCUUGCUUCUAUCAAUCUUAGUGGCGAACGGGUGAGUAACGCGUAAUCAACCUGCCCUUCAGAGGGGGACAACAGUUGGAAACGACUGCUAAUACCGCAUACGAUCCAAUCUCGGCAUCGGGACUGGAUGAAAGGUGGCCUCUAUUUAUAAGCUAUCGCUGAAGGAGGGGAUUGCGUCUGAUUAGCUAGUUGGAGGGGUAACGGCCCACCAAGGCGAUGAUCAGUAGCCGGUCUGAGAGGAUGAACGGCCACAUUGGGACUGAGACACGGCCCAGACUCCUACGGGAGGCAGCAGUGGGGAAUCUUCCGCAAUGGACGAAAGUCUGACGGAGCAACGCCGCGUGAGUGAUGACGGCCUUCGGGUUGUAAAGCUCUGUUAAUCGGGACGAAUGGUUCUUGUGCGAAUAGUGCGAGGAUUUGACGGUACCGGAAUAGAAAGCCACGGCUAACUACGUG
RNAcentral lists this ribosomal RNA (510 nucleotides) under uncultured bacterium. RNAcentral describes it as "partial 16S ribosomal RNA". It matches the Rfam family "Bacterial small subunit ribosomal RNA", at positions 28 to 507 of the family's 1533-position model. The record is from RNAcentral.